Molecule: transfer RNA, 90 nt
Filed under: Gammaproteobacteria bacterium
Lineage: Bacteria; Pseudomonadati; Pseudomonadota; Gammaproteobacteria
Also listed under: 2 other names
Description: tRNA-Ser
Rfam family: tRNA
About the family: Transfer RNA (tRNA) molecules are approximately 80 nucleotides in length. Their secondary structure includes four short double-helical elements and three loops (D, anti-codon, and T loops).
Source: RNAcentral
GGAGAGGUGGCAGAGCGGUUGAUUGCACCGGUCUUGAAAACCGGCGUCCCCGCAAGGGGACCGUGGGUUCGAAUCCCACCCUCUCCGCCA